This 349-nucleotide transfer-messenger RNA is filed under the name Eubacteriales. Its description in RNAcentral is "UBA1752 sp902783535 Standard tmRNA". It matches the Rfam family "transfer-messenger RNA". Rfam says of the family: Bacterial tmRNA, also known as 10Sa RNA or SsrA, is named for its dual tRNA and mRNA-like properties. Its role is to liberate the mRNA from a stalled ribosome. RNAcentral also lists the same sequence under 1 other name. Lineage: Bacteria; Bacillati; Bacillota; Clostridia. The record is from RNAcentral.
GGGGAUGUAAAGGUUUCGACUGGGACUUUGAACGAAGAUAAGCGAGCGGAAGCGCAUAACUUCCUUAAAAUGUGCAACUUAAAAAUAAACGCUAACAGAAACAGCGAACUCGUAGCCGCCUAACCGGCUGCCGUCAUACCCGGAGGGACCGCGGGCCGGGAUAUGGCGUGACUCAGCGGUGAACGUGACCGGGAUUAAGCUUUGCGUCCCGGCAUGACAUAUAUGAAGCUACCCGGCGGGUUCCGCGCGGAUCCGGGAAACGUACGGGGAAUUGAAUGAUCCGCUGCGCUCGGAGAAAGUUUUCGGAAUGAAUUUCAGGACAGGGGUUCGAUUCCCCUCAUCUCCACCA